AUACGGAGGGUGCAAGCGUUAAUCGGAAUUACUGGGCGUAAAGCGCGCGUAGGCGGCUAAGUAAGUCGGAUGUGAAAGCCCUGGGCUCAACCUGGGAAUUGCAUUCGAUACUGCUUGGCUAGAGUAUGGUAGAGGGUAGUGGAAUUCCUGGUGUAGCGGUGAAAUGCGUAGAUAUCAGGAGGAACAUCAGUGGCGAAGGCGGCUACCUGGACCAAUACUGACGCUGAGGUGCGAAAGCGUGGGGAGCAAACAGGAUUAGAAACCCCGGUAGUCC
Molecule: ribosomal RNA, 274 nt
Filed under: uncultured bacterium
Lineage: Bacteria
Description: partial 16S ribosomal RNA
Rfam family: Bacterial small subunit ribosomal RNA
Source: RNAcentral